AAGGAUUCAUGGAGUUUAUAAGCAAUCACCGGCAUCAUUCGAAUAAACAAUGAAUAUACGAAGAUAAUGUGGUUGUUUAUGAAACCAACAAGCGAAAACAUUUGAACUCAUCCCAAAAAAAAACUUUGUGCGGCGAAGAAAAACAAGCUCAGGUCGAAACAAUAAGAAAAUCUCAGCAUGCAUGGACAAAUGCAAAUCAGCCAAUCCAUUCGAAAUCAAUUUGCUUGGCAUUUGUAAUGCGGCGGAUUACUCGAGCCAUUACUCAUUUCCAAUUCUUGCUAUGGUCGUCAAUUAUUCCGGAAGUCGAGCAUGAGUUGGAACGAAUCGACACGAAAUUGUCCAUUAUUAUUUACAAGACGUCCGAUCCAGACACGGGCAAGGGCAUUGAAAUAAGUUUGGGGCACUCAACAAGGAAGGGAAACAUUUGAUACAAAGCUGCGUGCAAUGACAUACUUUCGCUAGCGGCUUGACUAGAACAGCAAAACCUGCUAGACGCUAGACUACGCUACAAACCAACUCUCCACGAGCAAAUCACGCUCAGCAUGAACUCACUUUGGAAUUUUCUUUCUGCAACAUAAGCAAGCAGCUAACAUUAUGAUAAUCGUUACACUUAAAUUAAUCGUUAUGAAAAUUGAAUAAAAAACAUCAUAUUCCA
This is a long non-coding RNA of Hermetia illucens (black soldier fly), 655 nucleotides long. RefSeq lists it as uncharacterized. The transcript is spliced from 2 exons. The record is from RefSeq and is a predicted model, not a curated record. NCBI's taxonomy places the organism in Eukaryota, Metazoa, Arthropoda, Insecta, Diptera, Stratiomyidae.